Molecule: non-coding RNA, 23 nt
Filed under: Rattus norvegicus (Norway rat)
Lineage: Eukaryota; Metazoa; Chordata; Mammalia; Rodentia; Muridae
Source: RNAcentral
UAAUUGGACCUGUUGAUAAAUUC